This 872-nucleotide ribosomal RNA is filed under the name uncultured Micrococcineae bacterium. RNAcentral's name for it is "bacterial SSU rRNA". It matches the Rfam family "Bacterial small subunit ribosomal RNA", at positions 30 to 916 of the family's 1533-position model. The record is from RNAcentral. Lineage: Bacteria; Bacillati; Actinomycetota; Actinomycetes; Micrococcales.
CGAACGCUGGCGGCGUGCUUAACACAUGCAAGUCGAGCGAUGAAGCACCUUCGGGUGUGGAUUAGCGGCGAACGGGUGAGGAACACGUGAGGAAUCUGCCUUCCACUCUGGGAUAACUCCGGGAAACCGGGGCUAAUACCGGAUACUUUCAACUGGCGGCAUCGCCGGUUGAAGAAAGUUUUUCGGUGGAAGAUGACCUCGCGGCCUAUCAGCUUGUUGGUGAGGUAAUGGCUCACCAAGGCAACGACGGGUAGCCGGCCUGAGAGGGCGACCGGCCACACUGGGACUGAGACACGGCCCAGACUCCUACGGGAGGCAGCAGUGGGGAAUAUUGGGCAAUGGAGGAAACUCUGACCCAGCGACGCCGCGUGAGGGAUGAAGGCCUUCGGGUUGUAAACCUCUUUCAGCAGGGAAUAAGCGAAAGUGAAGGUACCUGCAGAAGAAGCACCGGCUAACUAUGUGCCAGCAGCCGCGGUAAUACAUAGGGUGCAAGCGUUGUCCGGAAUUAUUGGGCGUAAAGAGCUCGUAGGUGGUCGAUCACGUCGGAUGUGAAAUUCUGAGGCUUAACCUCGGACCUGCAUUCGAUACGGGUUGACUAGAGUGUGGUAGGGGAGACUGGAAUUCCUGGUGUAGCGGUGGAAUGCGCAGAUAUCAGGAGGAACACCGAUGGCGAAGGCAGGUCUCUGGGCCAUUACUGACACUGAGGAGCGAAAGCGUGGGGAGCGAACAGGAUUAGAUACCCUGGUAGUCCACGCCGUAAACGGUGGGCGCUAGUUGUGGGAACCCUCCACGGUUUCUGCGACGCAGCUAACGCAUUAAGCGCCCCGCCUGGGGAGUACGGUCGCAAGACUAAAACUCAAAGGAAUUGACGG